UGGCCCAGAGACGCCAAAAGGUUGGACAUCCCUGAACCACUUAGGGAAGACUGUAUUCAUGGGUGCCAUUUAGGAAAAGCCCCUUUGCACGAAGCCGGUGGAUCCAAGUAGCAGCAGGUGUGAACCGUGAUGGACACUGGGGUACACCCUUCAUCUCCCCUGCAGGACUGAAGCACACAUUCCCUCAGCUGGAGAGGCUGCAAUGGCUAACAGUCCCACCAUCCUCAGCAGAAGAGCAUGUCUUCACCCAAGUCCAUGCCCUCAUCUCAGAGGCAACCUGCAUGCUUCACCUGGUUGAUGCUGUGGAAGAGCCAUCCUGACACAUGAAAUAAGAGAUGGAGAUGCCCCAACAAAGAAGUGAUGAGCCUGGGCUGAGACCCUGGUGUGGACUGCGAAGCCGUUGAUUUUUCACACGACUGCUGGGAGGAGUGAGGGCAGGACAGAAAACCAACAUCGGGAAUUCUCCGCGUGCCGGUCCAGGGUUGUGCAUUUUACACGGCUCACAUCACCUAAUUCUUCCAACAACUCUACAAAGAAGGUCUAACUAUAAACUUAAGAGUGAUCCUUCUAAAACAAUUCCACCAAAACGCCCUCAGCAUGGAGAGGAGGGCCAGCUCCCAGCCUUGUGUGAUCCUGGGAAGUAGCUGUGAACAGAUGCUACAAACAAGAAACAUGUAUGCGGCCUCACGUUUCUUCUAUAAUUUCAUUAAGGAAUUUAGGCUUCGAUUCCAUAUAAUGUUUAAUAUUUGUUUGAAUUUUAAAAAGUGAUGUUCUUUCCCCUUACAUUCUCAGGUGAAAUUGACAUUCCAGAAAAAGAGCCCUCGUUUACGCUGUGGCUUCCUUCACCUUGCCUCUGAUGCAUCGCUGAGUAGACAUCUUAGAGUCACCAGCAGUAAGCUUAUGAAGGAACAUAUGUCAGCAAGUGGCAGGAUGUAGUUGCAUGGGAAGAGAAACUUCACCUGUCUUGUUUACUAUAGUAUCCCCGGCAUACAGAAGAAUGCCUGAACACUGCAAGAGCUCAAACGAUACUCAUGGAACGAUAACAAGAGGCACUCCCGGGAGUGUAGGCUUUUUGUAAAUAGCUGGAUCACUCUCUUAAUUGCUGUCUCUGUUUGAAAAAUUGAUAAACAAUCUGUGCAACUACAUACUGUGCAAAUAGUGUCUGUACUGUUGUGGAAAGAUAAGUCAGGAUAAGUUUCAACUAGUCUUAUUGCCCAAAUUAGGGACUUAGCCCCUCUCUUGUCAAGACUUAAUUUUGAUUCUUGUUUUCUUUUAGUGAGAAGGAUAUUGAGGACACAAGAAAUAGCAGAUGGAUCAAUAGACCCUGCUCCUCCUUGGCUCCCUGUGACAUGCUUCACUAGGCAAUACACAGACAUUAGCUGCACGGCUUCCGUCUCUCAGCUGGGGUGAGAGUCCGCAACUAUCCACACAAGGGCCUUGUUGCCUGUUUGAAUCAACCCAGUUAUUUUUUUUUCUAAGAAGAUGGAUCAGAGAGGGCUACUCGAGGUAUUUUUCCCCCUUUUAUUAUCUCCUCUAGGGCAGAAGUUAUGGGCCUAUAACAGUACCUGUUAUGAUCUGAAUGUCUGUGUUCCCUCCUAAAAUUCACGCGGUGAAUGCCUAAACCCCAGGGUGAUGUUAUUAGGAGUUGGGCUUUUAGAAGUAAUUAGCUUUGGGUGAGGUCAUGAGAGUGGAGGCCCCACGAUGGGGUGAAUGGCCACAAAGAAGAGGGAGAGAACAGAGCUCUCUCUCCACCGUGUAAGGACACAGCUGGAAGGCAGCCAUCUGCAAACCAGGAGCAGAGUUCUCACCAGGAAUAAAGUCUGUUGGCACCCUGAUCUUGGACUUUCAUUCUUCCAGAACUGUGAGAAAAUAAGUGUCUGUUGUUUAAGCUACCCAGUCGAUGGUAUUUUGUUAUAACAGCCCAAACGAAGACAACAUCAGACCACAAAUCUCUUUUUGCCUUGUUUUGAACCAAAGGGAUAUUUCCUCCUAUUUUCUAUACAACUGCUAAAAGAAGACAAGCAUGAUUUCUAAACAAAGGGACUUCAAGAAGGGGAUUUGUGGAUGUUACUUGUUUUCUUUUGUUGUAGCAGCAAAGCAUUCUUUCUUUGGGAAAGGGGCACCAAAAUUGUGGUAAAACUUAAUAACAAGAGACAAUUGUCACAGUGUGUUCAUCUCAACUGCUUCCC
Molecule: long non-coding RNA, 2189 nt
Organism: Phyllostomus discolor (pale spear-nosed bat)
Lineage: Eukaryota; Metazoa; Chordata; Mammalia; Chiroptera; Phyllostomidae
Exons: 2
Source: RefSeq, a predicted model, not a curated record